Molecule: long non-coding RNA, 1946 nt
Organism: Zeugodacus cucurbitae (melon fly)
Lineage: Eukaryota; Metazoa; Arthropoda; Insecta; Diptera; Tephritidae
Exons: 4
Source: RefSeq, a predicted model, not a curated record
AAUUGUAAAAAAUACAAAUUCAUUAUUUUAUGAUUAUUAUAUAUUUUGGAUAUAUAUAUAUAUAUAUAUAUAUAUAUAUACAUACAUAUUUGUGUGUUUGGAAAUCGAAAGAAUUUCCUAAACGUAUUUUCUUCAUAUAAAAAGUCAUCUUCUUUGUUGCGCAAAAUAGCCAGAUUGCGCCUACGAGUGUAGCUAAACAUAGGCCAAUUGCAUCAACCAUUAUUGUGCUCUUGUUUUUCUGUGACCUGGUUUAAAGCACAUCACAAAUUAGAGACUGAUAUUGCUCAAAUAGAGAUGAGACAAACUCGCCAGAAUACCGAAAAGUCACCUCAGAUUCCUCUCUAUUAGAGACUUGAGACUGCUCGCAGAAAACCGGCAUAAACCUAAUAUCUGUUUUCGUUCCAUGAGCAAACUGUUGUGAAAUAAAUUUAAAUUAAAAAAAAUUAUGCUGUUUGCAAAAAAAUACUUGAGUGUCUUAACUUAACCGCUGAUGUAGAAGAUCCCGAUGAUUUCGUUGCUGAAUUUAGAAUGUGGAAAAGGAACUGGUUAAAUCAAACAAAGAGAUCCAAAACUUUUUUAGACGCGUUGAAUUGUUGCGAUGCAAAAAUUUUCAAAACAGUGCAUCGUUUUUUAAAGAUUGGAGCAAUAAUCCCUAUAUCUGUCGCUUCAAGUGAACGCUCGUUUUCCUCACUUCGCAGGCUUAAAACAUAUUUAAGAAAUAAAACUGGAGAAGCACGCCUGAACGGAAUGGCUCUCUUGAAUAUCCAUAGAGAUAUAGACGUGACGGAGGAAGAUAUUUUAAAUGUUAUGGCCCAAAUUAAAAGAAGAUUAGACUUCAAUUUCUGAAUAAACUAAUGAAACAUUGUCUUUUUACCUAAAACUUCCCCCAAAUUUUUUUCCUGCGUUCGCCACUGGUUCGAUGUAGCAGCGUUUGCAUCCAUAGUUCUGGAUUUGCUUGCAGCACAUAUUCCUAUCCCUUCGAGAGUUCUUCGCUGCUACCAUAAGUGACAAGGAUGCGUACCUUUAAUGCGCCGUAUGAGAUUUGAAAUAUCUGUAUUGAAAAUUAAUUAGAAUUUAAGGCAAGACAAUAUUAUUAUAUUCAAUAAUUAUUUACGUUUCGCCCUUGAUGUUGACCAAAGAUCUAUGAUCUUUGUUGGCGAAGCUUCUAUUGCGUGCUUCGAAUUGACAGUGAGAUGAAGUAUGUAUUACUGUAUCUUCCUCUUCAAUUCCAUCUUGUGGCUUUAGAAAACAUAUAUUUUCGUUUUACUUAUUUAAAAAUGCGUGGUUCAAUAAUUUAAACUUUAAUUAGUCUGAUUUAAAACUGAUUUAAAUGAAACACGCAAAAUAAUACUUCACAAGCAGCCAUGAUAAAUGUAGCUCAAAACAAAACUUGUUCAAUCAAACACACGAGAACUUUUGUUGUUUCUUUCUCUCAUUCGGAGUGCUGUACGAGAGAAGAGUUAGUUAAAUGUUUAUGCACAUUUUACCCCUUGUUGUAUGUGUGUAUGUAGUGGUGUUAUUGAAAUUUCUUUGAAUGUGUUGGAGUUUCAGUACCCACGACUUGCUGGGUUUUUAGUAUAGUAUAUCACCAUUUGUAGCCCUUGAGGGUUGGUCAGAGUUAGCUUCCCCAUUGCAACUCAGGAUGCUGCUUGCAAAAAGUUAUAUAAUGUUGCAGCUGCUCCUGAGUUGUUCUUUCAACAUUUGUACGUCUAAAAGUAAAUGAAAUACAUUUACAUUAAAAUUAUUGAAUUUGAAAAAUUACUUUUAAUAAUAAUUAAAUUUCUUUUUUUUUUUAAACAGCUGUUUGACAGCAAAAUGCUUUUCAAAUCACGUGGUGACUUUUUUAAACUUUUUUCUUAUGAAGUUCGAAUCAGAAUAGCUUCACAAAAUAUGCCUCACAAGAAUUCCCUCAAAAUUUUCUUCUCACCUCUGUUAUGAGGUUUUUU